UCCCUGGUGGUCCAGUGACUAAGCCUCUGCACUCCCAAUGCAGGAGGCCCGGGUUUGAUCCCCUGGUCAGGGAA
Molecule: transfer RNA, 74 nt
Filed under: Bos taurus (domestic cattle)
Lineage: Eukaryota; Metazoa; Chordata; Mammalia; Artiodactyla; Bovidae
Also listed under: 4 other names
Rfam family: tRNA
About the family: Transfer RNA (tRNA) molecules are approximately 80 nucleotides in length. Their secondary structure includes four short double-helical elements and three loops (D, anti-codon, and T loops).
Source: Rfam by way of RNAcentral